CACACAGCACACCUACCCCCCAAGCACAGCACCCUUACCCCCCACACAGCACACCUACCCCCCAAGCAUAGCACCCCUAACCGCCACACAACACAGCACCCCUAACCCCUACCCCACCUCCCCUACCCACCACACACACAGCACCCCCCACACACAGUACCCCUCAGACACACACACAGCACUCCACACCCUUACACACAAACACUUAAACUGCACCCCUCAAUGCAGUAUGUAUGUGUGUAUUCAGCAGUCUGUGUGUGUGUGUAUGUAUUAAGCAGACUGUGUGUACUCAGCAGUCUGUGUGUGUGUGUAUAUUCAGCAGUCUCUUUGUGUGUGUACUCAGCAGUGUGUGUGAUUCAGCAGUCUGUGUGUACGUGUGUAUGUACUCAGCAGUCUGUGUGUGUGUGUGUGUACUAAGCAUUGUAUGUAUUCAGCAGACUGUGUGUGUGUAUUCAGCAGUGUAUGUAUUCAGCAGACUGUGUGUGUGUGUGUGUGUGUGUGUGUGUAUGUAUUCAGCAGACUGUGUGUACUUAGCAG
Non-coding RNA from Pelobates cultripes (western spadefoot toad), 537 nucleotides. The record is from the annotation of a GenBank genome assembly. Lineage: Eukaryota; Metazoa; Chordata; Amphibia; Anura; Pelobatidae.